This 607-nucleotide ribosomal RNA is filed under the name bacterium. RNAcentral's name for it is "bacterial SSU rRNA". It matches the Rfam family "Bacterial small subunit ribosomal RNA", at positions 30 to 608 of the family's 1533-position model. The record is from RNAcentral.
GGAGUGGGGCGGCGUGCUAUACAUGCAGUCGAGCGCAGGAAGCAAGCAGAUCCCCUUCGGGGGUGACGCUUGUGGAAUGAGCGGCGGACGGGUGAGUAACACGUGGGCAACCUGCCUGUAAGACUGGGAUAACCCCGGGAAACCGGGGCUAAUACCGGAUAAUACUUUUCUUUUCAUAAAGGAAAGUUGAAAGGCGGUUUCGGCUGCCACUUACAGAUGGGCCCGCGGCGCAUUAGCUAGUUGGUGAGGUAACGGCUCACCAAGGCGACGAUGCGUAGCCGACCUGAGAGGGUGAUCGGCCACACUGGGACUGAGACACGGCCCAGACUCCUACGGGAGGCAGCAGUAGGGAAUCUUCCGCAAUGGACGAAAGUCUGACGGAGCAACGCCGCGUGAGUGAUGAAGGUUUUCGGAUCGUAAAACUCUGUUGUUAGGGAAGAACAAGUCGGGUAGUAACUGACCCGGCCUUGACGGUACCUAACCAGAAAGCCCCGGCUAACUACGUGCCAGCAGCCGCGGUAAUACGUAGGGGGCAAGCGUUGUCCGGAAUUAUUGGGCGUAAAGCGCUCGCAGGCGGUCCUUUAAGUCUGAUGUGAAAUCUCGCGGG